RNAcentral lists this ribosomal RNA (487 nucleotides) under uncultured Pseudomonadota bacterium. RNAcentral describes it as "bacterial SSU rRNA". It matches the Rfam family "Bacterial small subunit ribosomal RNA", at positions 29 to 511 of the family's 1533-position model. The record is from RNAcentral. Lineage: Bacteria; Pseudomonadati; Pseudomonadota.
AUUGAACGCUGGCGGCAUGCUUUACACAUGCAAGUCGAGCGGCAGCGCGGGGCAACCUGGCGGCGAGCGGCGAACGGGUGAGUAAUGCAUCGGAACAUGUCCAUAUCGUGGGGGAUAGCCCGGCGAAAGCCGGAUUAAUACCGCAUACGCCCGAGAGGGGAAAGCAGGGGACCGCAAGGCCUUGCGCGAUUGGGUUGGCCGAUGUCCGAUUAGCUUGUUGGUGAGGUAAAGGCUUACCAAGGCGAUGAUCGGUAGCUGGUCUGAGAGGAUGAUCAGCCACACUGGGACUGAGACACGGCCCAGACUCCUACGGGAGGCAGCAGUGGGGAAUUUUGGACAAUGGGGGCAACCCUGAUCCAGCCAUUCCGCGUGAGUGAAGAAGGCCUUCGGGUUGUAAAGCUCUUUUGUCCGGAGCGAAACGGUCGUGGUGAAUAUCCGCGACUACUGACGGUACCGGAAGAAUAAGCACCGGCUAACUACGUGCCAG